This 253-nucleotide ribosomal RNA is filed under the name uncultured bacterium. RNAcentral describes it as "partial 16S ribosomal RNA". It matches the Rfam family "Bacterial small subunit ribosomal RNA", at positions 524 to 776 of the family's 1533-position model. The record is from RNAcentral.
UACAGAGGGGGCAAGCGUUAUUCGGAAUUAUUGGGCGUAAAGGGUGCGUAGGCGGCCUGGCAAGUGGAAGGUGAAAUCCCUCGGCUUAACCGAGGAACUGCCCUCCAAACUGCUUGGCUUGAGUCCGGGAGAGGUGAGUGGAAUUCCCAGUGUAGCGGUGAAAUGCGCAGAUAUCAGGAGGAACACCAAUUGCGAAGGCAGCUCGCUGGGACGUUACUGACGCUGAGACGCGAAAGCGUGGGGAGCAAACAGG